Molecule: long non-coding RNA, 692 nt
Organism: Spinacia oleracea (spinach)
Lineage: Eukaryota; Viridiplantae; Streptophyta; Magnoliopsida; Caryophyllales; Amaranthaceae
Exons: 2
Source: RefSeq, a predicted model, not a curated record
CUUCAUCUCUAUCAACCAUGUCGCCGACUAGUCGACUACACCUCCUACUCUGCUACCGCAGCUCAGACUUUCCCCAAAUCCGGAGGAGCUGGAACCUUUAAACCACCUACGACUUCAUCAAAAAAUGCUCGGUUGGAAAGGUCUGCCAGUGAUCGAUGUCGUCGAUGUUCUAUUGGAAGAUUUUAACUGACUAGACUCGAUUGGUUCUGAGGUUGCGCAAGAUUUGGUGAAGAAUAUGGUUAGGGUUAUUUCUAUGGAUGGUACCUAAGGUCUUGUUCGUGGUCAACCGUUUUGAACAUUGAAUCUCUACUUAAAACUCAAGUCACAGACAAGCUUAAAGGACCACUCGAGGCACUUCGGCCUAAGAUGCAGGUAUUUAUCAAUCUGUCUCACCUCGUGAAAUCCCUUUUCUUCUUAUCUGAACUCUUGUCGUACCAAUUGAAAUGAUUACGUCGUUCACAGUUCUAAGUUGUACCUACUUAUCUUUCGUGGUACCUUGAGGAUCUUGGGCCAGUUCUUAAUGCGGUACCCUGAGGACCAUGAGCCAUUUCCUCGUGGUACUCUAAGGACCUUAAGCCAGAUUUUGACCAUCCAAUUUUGUAUCAUGGACACUAGUCCACCAGGAUCAUUAAUUAAGAGCAAAUAGGAUCGAUGAUCUAUACAGAUCUUUCAUCCUUAAAAGUGAAAAGAAA